RNAcentral lists this transfer RNA (87 nucleotides) under Ackermannviridae sp. RNAcentral describes it as "tRNA-Tyr". It matches the Rfam family "tRNA". From Rfam's summary of the family: Transfer RNA (tRNA) molecules are approximately 80 nucleotides in length. Their secondary structure includes four short double-helical elements and three loops (D, anti-codon, and T loops). Lineage: Duplodnaviria; Heunggongvirae; Uroviricota; Caudoviricetes; Pantevenvirales; Ackermannviridae. The record is from RNAcentral.
GGGAAGUUGGGCGAACGGUUAAGCCAGCAGACUGUAAAUCUGCCGCCUCACAAGGCACUCUAGGUUCAAAUCCUAGGCUUCCCACCA